RNAcentral lists this ribosomal RNA (227 nucleotides) under uncultured bacterium. RNAcentral describes it as "partial 16S ribosomal RNA". It matches the Rfam family "Bacterial small subunit ribosomal RNA", at positions 383 to 607 of the family's 1533-position model. The record is from RNAcentral.
CUGAACCAGCCAAGUAGCGUGAAGGAUGAAGGAUCUAUGGUUCGUAAACUUCUUUUAUAGGGGAAUAAAGUGCAGGACGUGUCCUGUUUUGUAUGUACCCUGUGAAUAAGGAUCGGCUAGCUCCGUGCCAGCAGCCGCGGUAAUACGGAGGAUCCGAGCGUUAUCCGGAUUUAUUGGGUUUAAAGGGUGCGUAGGUGGCUUUUUAAGUCAGUUGUGAAAGUUUGCGG